AUACUUAUAACCGGCAAGGGAAAUAACAUGAUCAUUAAAGGUGGAUUUUUCAGGGUGAGGUUUGUCUCUUGUCAUUGCGGAUGUGCUGACUCCUGCGGUUUUCUGCAAAUGUGGGAAACUUAAUUGCAUAAUUUGUGGUAGUGGGGACUAUGUUGGUUCUUUCCCCU
RNAcentral lists this small nuclear RNA (167 nucleotides) under Pan paniscus (pygmy chimpanzee). RNAcentral's name for it is "U1 spliceosomal RNA (ENSPPAG00000011205.1)". It matches the Rfam family "U1 spliceosomal RNA". From Rfam's summary of the family: U1 is a small nuclear RNA (snRNA) component of the spliceosome (involved in pre-mRNA splicing). The record is from Rfam by way of RNAcentral. Lineage: Eukaryota; Metazoa; Chordata; Mammalia; Primates; Hominidae.